This 436-nucleotide unclassified non-coding RNA is filed under the name soil metagenome. Its description in RNAcentral is "partial contains internal transcribed spacer 2 and large subunit ribosomal RNA". The stretch from base 1 to 121 matches the Rfam family "5.8S ribosomal RNA", at positions 35 to 154 of the family's 154-position model. The record is from RNAcentral.
GAUGAAGAACGUAGCGAAAUGCGAUAAGUAGUGUGAAUUGCAGAAUUCAGUGAAUCAUCGAAUUUUUGAACGCAUAUUGCGCUUCUUGGAAAUUCCGGGGAGCAUGCCCGUUUCAGUAUCAUAUGAAGUCUUAAUAGGUAUAGCUAGGGCUUAGCAUAUACAUGUAAAUGUGUAUGCGAAGUUAUUACAUAGCUAUACCUAUUAAGGAUUUUGGACUUCUUUUUUGACGUUCACACGCAAAAUAGUCUUUAAAUAAUUGUGCAUGCUUACUGAUAGCAUAUGUUGGCUGCAACUGAGCAACAGAAUAUUGUUCUAUUUCUCUUUGGCAGUUUGUCUAUGUGUCUGUGAGUGUUAGCCUAGUUAAUGAUAUUAUGACCCGUGGUCUGAAAUCGGGCAAGAAAACCCGCUGAACUUAAGCAUAUCAAUAAGCGGAGGA